UUUCGUGAUAGAUUGAAUUAGGCUUAGUUUUUGUUGGACCAAGCCCAAUAAUUGCUAUCGUUAUAGAUUGAUUUAGACCCAAUUCUUGUUGGACCGAGCCCAAUAAUUGCUAUCGUCAUAACUUGGUUUAGGCCCAAUUCUUGUUGGAUCAAGCGCAACAUAUGUUGGCAUCCUAAUUUUGUUUCUGCCCAAUUCUUAAUGGAUUUUGGCAAACAUUUGCUAGCGUCAUAACUUUGUUUAGGCCCACUAAUUAAUGGGCCGAAAUUUGCUAUCAUCAUAACUUUGUUUUAGGCCCAAGAAAUUUCAUGGAUUUAGCCAACAAAAUUUUGGGCCCAGUUAUUUUUGGUGUAGCCCAGGUAGCGCCUAUAAUUAAAAUAUAAUCUAAUUUAACAUUAUAUACAAAUAAAUUCUAUAUUUGACAAUCCAAAUAAUUCAUACAUACCACACAUACAAAUAAAUGUUUCUCAUCACACUUCACACAUUAUUAGUCAUGUCCAAAAAAUAAGCACAAGCAUAUUAUCCCUAAGAUAUCACAGACCACUACACAUGAUAUCUCUUUGACCAAGAGCAAAGCUGGCCUAAGCGCUGAGAGGACAUGAGAAGAUACCUAAGAAACACAUUGACCUUAC
Molecule: long non-coding RNA, 629 nt
Filed under: Setaria viridis
Lineage: Eukaryota; Viridiplantae; Streptophyta; Magnoliopsida; Poales; Poaceae
Description: long non-coding RNA (SVIR_LNC000340)
Source: RNAcentral